RNAcentral lists this ribosomal RNA (486 nucleotides) under uncultured bacterium. RNAcentral's name for it is "partial 16S ribosomal RNA". It matches the Rfam family "Bacterial small subunit ribosomal RNA", at positions 28 to 507 of the family's 1533-position model. The record is from RNAcentral.
GAUGAACGCUAGCGGCAGGCUUAACACAUGCAAGUCGAGGGGCAGCGCGGGAUAGCAAUAUCCUGGCGGCGACCGGCGGAAGGGUGCGUAACGCGUGAGCGACAUGCCCGUUGCCCGGGGACAACCGGUGGAAACGCCGACUAAUCCCCGAUGGGAUAUUGUGCCGCAUGGCACGAUAUUGAAAGUUACGGCGGCGACGGAUUGGCUCGCGUCCGAUUAGCUUGUUGGCGGGGUAACGGCCCACCAAGGCUGCGAUCGGUAGGGGUUCUGAGAGGAAGGCCCCCCAAAAUGGGACUGAGACACGGCCCAUACUCCUACGGGAGGCAGCAGUGAGGAAUAUUGGUCAAUGGGCGGAAGCCUGAACCAGCCAUGCCGCGUGCGGGAAGGAGGCCCUAUGGGCUGUGAACCGCUUUUGCCUGGGGGCAAUAAGGGCGUCGCGCACGUCCGAUGAGAGUACCAGGCGAAUAAGCAUCGGCUAACUCCGUG